This 750-nucleotide ribosomal RNA is filed under the name Triticum aestivum (bread wheat). Its description in RNAcentral is "partial small subunit ribosomal RNA". The record is from RNAcentral. Lineage: Eukaryota; Viridiplantae; Streptophyta; Magnoliopsida; Poales; Poaceae.
AUGCAGGAUUUGUUCUACUAUGGAAUGACUACUUCAAAGAAAGUCCUCGCUAUCCCGAAAACUUAUUUCGGCGAAGAAGCUACUAAUCUAGAGGCUUGCAAGAAGUUUGUGAUCAAAAUUUGUGAAGUCUUUGGGGACCAAUACCUGAGAUCUCCAAAUGAAGAAGAUACUACAAGAUUACUUGCAAUAGGGGAGGAAAGAGGAUUCCCUAGUAUGUUAGGGAGUAUAGAUUGUAUGCACUGGGGUUGGAAAAGUUGCCUAAGAAAAUGGCAUGGCAUGUUUAAAGGUCAUGUGAAAGAGCCCACAAUGAUCUUGGAAGCAGUUGCUUCCCAAGAUCUUUGGAUUUGGCAUGCUUUCUUUGGUUUACCAGGGUCAAACAACGAUCUGAAUGUUCUUCAACGUUCUCAUGUGUUUGCAAAGCUAGCUGAAGGUGAAGCUCCAGAAGUGAAUUAUACCAUUAAUGGUCAUCAAUACACAAUGGGGUAUUACCUUGCAGAUGGCAUAUAUCCACGAUGGGCAACAUUUGUGAAGACCAUACCAUCUCCACAAACAAGAAAGAAGAAACAUUUUGCCCAAAGGCAAGAGGCGGCUAGAAAGGAUGUGGAACGAGCCUUUGGAGUUCUGCAAUCCCGUUUUGCCAUUGUUCGAGGACCUGCGAAAGGAUGGAAACGUAAAGAAAUCGGUGAUGUCAUGAAAGCUUGUGUCAUAAUGCAUAAUAUGAUAGUUGAAGACGAACGACACACUGGUUAG